RNAcentral lists this ribosomal RNA (335 nucleotides) under uncultured bacterium. RNAcentral's name for it is "partial 16S ribosomal RNA". It matches the Rfam family "Bacterial small subunit ribosomal RNA", at positions 338 to 690 of the family's 1533-position model. The record is from RNAcentral.
CCUACGGGUGACAGCAGUGGGGGAUAUUGCACAAUGGGGGAAACCCUGAUGCAGCGACGCCGCGUGGGUGAAGAAGCGCCUCGGCGCGUAAAGCCCUGUCAGCAGGGAAGAAAAUGACGGUACCUGAAGAAGAAGCCCCGGCUAACUACGUGCCAGAAGCCGCGGUAAUACGUAGGGGGCAAGCGUGAUCCGGAUUUACUGGGUGUAAAGGGGGCGCAGACGGCGAUGCAAGCCAGGAGUGAAAGCCCGGGGCCCAACCGCGGGACUGCUCUUGGAACGGGGUGGCUAGAGGGCAGGAGGGGCAGGCGGAAGUGCUGGAGUAGAGGUGAGAUGCG